UCCAUUUCUUUCAACUUUAACUGGUACUCCAAUCUCAUUUUCUCCAUUUCAAUGUUUUCUUUCAUUUUCAUUUCCAUCUCAAACUUUGCCAGUUGAAUCUGAGCAUCAUCUGAAACAGUAACAGAAGUUUCAGACUCCUCUGUAAGCUUCAUGUGACUAGCUAACAAGUCAAUUAUCUCUGUCUUCUUUAAUCCUGGGGCUAGACAU
Molecule: long non-coding RNA, 207 nt
Organism: Lytechinus variegatus (green sea urchin)
Lineage: Eukaryota; Metazoa; Echinodermata; Echinoidea; Temnopleuroida; Toxopneustidae
Exons: 2
Source: RefSeq, a predicted model, not a curated record